CUCUUUUCUCCAAACAUCAGUCAUUUCCUGGAAAUCAUCCCAGGCACGCAGCGGCCCAUUCAAGUUAAUUAAGCACGUGUCUCUGACACCAACCAGAGCGUGCGCCCUGGCCAAGCCCUGAAGGGGAAGCUCGGGCCGAGGGGUCACGGGCCCUGCCUCCCCGCCCCUGCCGACCUCUCCCGCUCCUCGAAAACCCGGUAAUCCCGGGAAACGGCGGCUUCUGCCAGCGAGCUGGCUGGCUGAGCCCCGGGCAGCCCGGAGCAAGGGAACCAACAGAGCCUGGCGUCGGCCCGGGGUCGACUGAACACCGUCCAUCCUCCCAACACCCGACUCUGCGUCCACCGACUGGACUCAAGGACCCCCUCCCCGACGGAGGAGGGGUAGGCGGCUAGGAAUCCGCAAACCUGCGCGCGUCCUCUCGCCCGCCAACUGCAACCACCACCUGCUCUCUAGGUCCCGCGCCAGCCCCGCCGUCGUGGGUCCCUUACCUUGUGGCUUUUCCCCCCCGGGGGACACCUGACGUUGUUGGAGGCUCCCGCUGUCUGAUUCAUGUCCGGAGGAACUUGGGAACCGAUGCUCUAGAACCUCUCCAAGUUCCUCGGCGCCUGGAGGGUGGCGAGGGGCGCGUCUCCCGGAGGCGAGGUGGGUCCUGGCAGUCCAGCCGUGUCCGGGCGGCGUCCCCUACGCGGCAGGUUUCCGAGGGACCCCUCGCCCAGGGAAGCUGAGCACUGCAAGCCCCGGAGCCGAAGAAGGAGAAGCAGCUGCUGGGAUCCCAGAGGGAGCCGGGCCGGCGCCGGCGGCUCUGAGGGCGCUGUGCCCGGGGCUGCCUUCUCCGGGAAGCAGUCCAGGACUGUCCGGACCUGAGCACCAGCAGAUCCUAAAGGAGCUCCUGGGAGAGGCGAGGAGAGCAUCAAGCUGAAAAGCAACUCUCCAGCUUUACUGACUUGACUUAAAUGAUAUUGGAGGCCGUGUUUUAAGCCAAAUUGCCCUCUGGAGUCUCUACACAGAAAUCUCAUUACUGUGGAAUCUGUGGGGUUUCACUUCCUGGGUACUACUUCAUCAUCUUUCAGGAAGAUUUUGAACAACUAGAAAAAAUUCAAAUCCUGCAGAAGUCGUCACACAAGAAUAUGCUUGAACUCCCUGUGAUUGUGUGUUAAAGGAAGAGGAUAGUCCUUGUGAGGGUGGAGUGGUUGCCUAGGGCAGUUGGGAAUCUGUCCAGAGCUUUGUGGGAAUUCCUUGCUUUUGCAAUUUUUUCCCCCUAAGCUUGGAAGAUAGCAUAAAGGAAUCAGCCUGUUGAACAGAGCAGGCAGUUGUCUGCUUAUAUCAGAUUUAUACCAUUUCUUGAGACUGAGUUGCACUCGGACCUGAAUGCAACUAAGCUCCCAUAUUCCUUCCUCGAACUAAGGACUCUACAGGGGCUGUUGUGAACACCUGGGCUCAAGACACCCACCAAAGCUGAACAGAGACUCGGCCUCAUCA
This 1479-nucleotide long non-coding RNA is filed under the name Bos indicus x Bos taurus (hybrid cattle). RNAcentral's name for it is "lncRNA (ENSBIXG00005015673.1)". Lineage: Eukaryota; Metazoa; Chordata; Mammalia; Artiodactyla; Bovidae. The record is from RNAcentral.